This 30-nucleotide non-coding RNA is filed under the name Rattus norvegicus (Norway rat). Lineage: Eukaryota; Metazoa; Chordata; Mammalia; Rodentia; Muridae. The record is from RNAcentral.
UUAGACAGUGGAGUUGUCAUGUUCCUGUCU